AUGGUCUAGCUAGUCCAAUCAGCAAAAUGAAUUUUAGUUUAAUUCCCCGAAACUAGGUGAGCUACUUCGAAAUAGCCAUAAGAGCUGACCCGUCUCUGUUGCAAAAGAGUGGGAAAAUUUCCAAGUAGAGGUGAUAAGCCUACCGCACCAAGAGAUAGCUGGUUACUCAAGAAAAGAAUUUUAGUUCUACCUCAAGUUUUUUAGAUUUAAUAAACCCCAGCUAAACUUAAGAGCUAUUCCCAUAGGGCACAGCUUAUUUGAAAAAGGAUACAACCUAUUAUAUUGGGUAAUUAAUUAAGAAAAACUGUUAAGUAGGCCUAAAAGCAGCCAUCUUUCAAAAAGCGUUAAAGCUUUACUCUUAUUCUUUAAAAUAACUUUACCACUUUCCAACCCUUUAUUAAUAUUGAGUAACUCCAUAAAAAUAUGGAAGAUAUAAUGCUAGAACUAGUAACAAGAAGUAGAGCUUCUCCAAAAUGUAAGCCUAAGCCACCUUAGACACCCUAAUGGCAAUUAACGUUUAUGAGUCAAUUUUACUAACACCACAAGAAAACCCUAAAUACCCCAACGUUAAACUUACACUAGAACAUUUAUUGAAAGACCAAAAGAAAAAGAAGGAACUCGGCAAAUAUAUACC
RNAcentral lists this ribosomal RNA (634 nucleotides) under Guibemantis flavobrunneus. RNAcentral describes it as "partial 16S ribosomal RNA". The stretch from base 1 to 442 matches the Rfam family "Bacterial large subunit ribosomal RNA", at positions 663 to 1300 of the family's 2925-position model. Lineage: Eukaryota; Metazoa; Chordata; Amphibia; Anura; Mantellidae. The record is from RNAcentral.